Saimiri boliviensis boliviensis (Bolivian squirrel monkey) is the source of this 1004-nucleotide long non-coding RNA. RefSeq lists it as uncharacterized. Lineage: Eukaryota; Metazoa; Chordata; Mammalia; Primates; Cebidae. The record is from RefSeq and is a predicted model, not a curated record.
ACCAGCCUCACCAUGUCUACACCCCUCUCCACAUCCCCCUUCCUGAUAUCCUUGCUCUCCGUGAUUAACCAUGCCUGAAAGCUUACCCCUUGCCACUAGACUGCUUCAACCUUUCUCCUUCUUUCAAACUCUUUUUUGACUCUCCUGUCAUCAGUAUCUCUCUUCACGUGUUGUGUCAAUUUGCUUUUCUUCCCCAUGAGAUGAGCUGGGAAAAUAGCAAUGACACCCAGCUGUGGCUGGGUGAGCCUUUCCUCCGCUCAGCUGGACUCCCUGUGUGUGAACAAAUGCAGGGCACAACAGAAGGGCGGCCGUGGUUUUCAAAUGUCCCCACCCAGGAGUGGAUCCCAAAGUCAUUUUAGUGGAUUGCAACCAACAGUGAAAAAUAAAUAGAACAGAACAUACUGCAGGGCAUCCCCCAUGGGAAGGCCCAUAAAAACAAAACCCAGAGAAUUUGUCCGGUGGAAGCAGAGUCCAGCCAGAUUUGGAAAUCUACCAUCUUUUUUGGUGAGAUCAUCAGAUGCUACCACUUAAAGUGCAACAGAACAUGAGUCUCAUCCCUGUGGACUGCAGCCAGUCGAGUUCCAACUCAUCCCACGCACCCCCAGUCGCCGACAGGGAUGGCCAAGCCUGGAGUUACUGGCAGUAAAAGGAUGUUUGUGAUGCUAAAGCCGGCAAAGCACACGCAGGCACAGCAUAAUGCCCGGCACGUAGUGAGCGCUCUGUAAGGUCAGCAGCUGUCAUCAUCACUUAAUACUGACCAGCACGAGACGGCCAAGCCAGCGGCGGCAGCGCUUGAACUCGAACCAAGGUCUUGGCAUCUUCCCGCCGCAGCGGCCUCUGCUCACAGCAACUCCGCUCUCCUCUGAGAAGGGUAACUGGGGGCCUAAACAGCUAUGUCAUACUUGAAGUUGCAUCCACAAAGCUUCAGUUGGGACAAGCCCUACCCUCCUUUAAAAAGCAAGGUCCCGGGCCAGGCGCAGUGGCUCACACCUAUAACCCCAGCA